Molecule: ribosomal RNA, 520 nt
Filed under: uncultured bacterium
Lineage: Bacteria
Description: bacterial SSU rRNA
Rfam family: Archaeal small subunit ribosomal RNA
Source: RNAcentral
AACCUCCGCAAUGUGAGAAAUCGCGACGGGGGGAUCCCAAGUGCCAUUCUUAACGGGAUGGCUUUUCAUUAGUGUAAAGAGCUUUUGGAAUAAGAGCUGGGCAAGACCGGUGCCAGCCGCCGCGGUAACACCGGCAGCUCUAGUGGUAACAAUUUUUAUUGGGCCUAAAGCGUCCGUAGCCGGUUUAAUAAGUCUCUGGUGAAAUCCUGCAGCUUAACUGUGGGAAUUGCUGGAGAUACUAUUAGACUUGAGACCGGGAGAGGUUAGAGGUACUCCCAGGGUAGAGGUGAAAUUCUGUAAUCCUGGGAGGACCGCCUGUUGCGAAGACGUCUAACUGGAACGGUUCUGACGGUGAGGGACGAAAGUUAGGGGCGCGAACCGGAUUAGAUACCCGGGUAGUCCUAACUGUAAACGAUGCGGACUUGGUGUUGGGGUGGCUUUGAGCUGCUUCAGUGCCGAAGGGAAGCUGUUAAGUCCGCCGCCUGGGAGUACGGUCGCAAGACUGAAACUUAAAGGAAUU